RNAcentral lists this ribosomal RNA (135 nucleotides) under Thalassiosira minuscula. RNAcentral describes it as "partial Bacterial large subunit ribosomal RNA". It matches the Rfam family "Bacterial large subunit ribosomal RNA", at positions 1 to 139 of the family's 2925-position model. Lineage: Eukaryota; Bacillariophyta; Thalassiosirophyceae; Thalassiosirales; Thalassiosiraceae. The record is from RNAcentral.
AGCGUCAAAAGGGCAUCCGGGGGAUGUCUUGGCGGUAAGAGGCGAUGAAGGACGUGGCACUCUGCGAUAAGCACGGGGGAGGCGAGAGCACCCUUUGAUCCCGUGAUUUCCGAAUGGGGAAACCCAUCUCCGAGA